GCACUCAAAUCUUUCCCAGUCCUGCUGCUUGGUGCCGGUCUGGGGACAGACGGUGCUACAGUAGAGCAGAGAAUAUCCAGACGGGUCGUUGCCCAUUUGUCCUGGGGCCUGUCCCUACAGCUCUGCCACACUU
This is a small nucleolar RNA of Cricetulus griseus (Chinese hamster), 133 nucleotides long. Ensembl annotates it as small nucleolar RNA SNORA55. The record is from Ensembl. Lineage: Eukaryota; Metazoa; Chordata; Mammalia; Rodentia; Cricetidae.